GACGAACGCUGGCGGCGUGCUUAACACAUGCAAGUCGAGCGGAGCGGCGAACGGGUGAGUAACGCGUGAGUAACUGCCCCCCUCUCUGGGAUAACAGUUGGAAACGGCUGCUAAUACCGGAUAGUGGGGGAUGACUCGCGUCCUAACAGCUUUUUGGUGGGGUGAUGGCCUCACAAGGCGGUGACGGGUAGCCGGACUGAGAGGGUGACCGGCGACGUUGGGCUGAUAUACGGCCCAGUCUCCUACGGGAGGCAGAAGUGGGGGAUAUUGCACAAUGGGCGAAAGCCUGAUGCAGCGACGCCGCGUGGGGGAUGGAGGCUUUCGGGGUGUAAAGCUCUUUCGCUAUCGAAAGGGUAGGUGGAGAAGAAGCGCCGGCUAACUACGUGCCAGCCGCCGCGGUAAUUC
This 405-nucleotide ribosomal RNA is filed under the name uncultured bacterium. Its description in RNAcentral is "partial 16S ribosomal RNA". It matches the Rfam family "Bacterial small subunit ribosomal RNA", at positions 28 to 526 of the family's 1533-position model. The record is from RNAcentral.